GCGAGCGUUGUUCGGACUUACUGGGCGUAAAGGGCGCGUAGGCGGCGACUCAAGUUAGAUGUGAAAGUCCUGGGCUUAACCUGGGGACUGCAUUUGAUACUGGGUUGCUUGAAUUCGGGAGAGGAUAGCGGAAUUCCCAGUGUAGAGGUGAAAUUCGUAGAUAUUGGGAAGAACACCGGUGGCGAAGGCGGCUAUCUGGACCGACAUUGACGCUGAGGCGCGAAAGCGUGGGGAGCAAACAGG
Molecule: ribosomal RNA, 243 nt
Filed under: uncultured bacterium
Lineage: Bacteria
Description: partial 16S ribosomal RNA
Rfam family: Bacterial small subunit ribosomal RNA
Source: RNAcentral